Molecule: ribosomal RNA, 422 nt
Filed under: uncultured archaeon
Lineage: Archaea
Description: partial 16S ribosomal RNA
Rfam family: Archaeal small subunit ribosomal RNA
Source: RNAcentral
CUACGGGCGGCAGCAGUUAGGGAUUUUUUGCAAUGCGCGAAAGCGUGACAAAGCGAGCCAGAGUGUUUCUCGUAUAGAGAAACUUUUGUCAGCUGUAAAAAGGCUGACGAAUAAGGAGUGGGUAAGACUGGUGCCAGCCGCCGCGGUAAUACCAGCAGUCCAAGUCGUAGCCACAAUUAUUGGGUCUAAAACAUCCGUAGCUUGUUUCAUAAGUCUCUUGUGAAAUUUUGCCUCUUAAGGGUAAAGCGGGCAAGAGAUACUGUGUUGCUAGAGACUGGAGGAUGUAAGGAGUAUAGUUGAGGUAGUGGUAAAAUACGUUAAUCUCAAUUAGACUAACAACAGCGAAGGCAUCUUACAACUACAGUUCUGACAGUGAGGGAUGAAGGCUAGGGGCGCAAAACGGAUUAGAUACCCCCGUAGUC